UACAAUUUUUGACUCUUCGUCUUAUUUAAAUUUUUUUACGAUUGAUAUUUUUUAUUGGAUGAUAAAUUAUGAAUAGUACUUUACAUGUGACUAAUUUUUUUUCUAAUUUUCUAAAAAAAUUUCAAAUAAGAUGGAUGGUCAAACGUUGGACACGGAAAUCGAAG
RNAcentral lists this microRNA precursor (164 nucleotides) under Oryza brachyantha (malo sina). RNAcentral's name for it is "MIR812 microRNA precursor family". It matches the Rfam family "MIR812 microRNA precursor family", at positions 27 to 193 of the family's 205-position model. The record is from Rfam by way of RNAcentral. Lineage: Eukaryota; Viridiplantae; Streptophyta; Magnoliopsida; Poales; Poaceae.